Molecule: ribosomal RNA, 273 nt
Filed under: Burkholderia ubonensis
Lineage: Bacteria; Pseudomonadati; Pseudomonadota; Betaproteobacteria; Burkholderiales; Burkholderiaceae
Description: partial 16S ribosomal RNA
Rfam family: Bacterial small subunit ribosomal RNA
Source: RNAcentral
UUGAACUGAAGAGUUUGAUCCUGGCUCAGAUUGAACGCUGGCGGCAUGCCUUACACAUGCAAGUCGAACGGCAGCACGGGCUUCGGCCUGGUGGCGAGUGGCGAACGGGUGAGUAAUACAUCGGAACAUGUCCUGUAGUGGGGGAUAGCCCGGCGAAAGCCGGAUUAAUACCGCAUACGAUCCACGGAUGAAAGCGGGGGACCUUCGGGCCUCGCGCUAUAGGGUUGGCCGAUGGCUGAUUAGCUAGUUGGUGGGGUAAAGGCCUACCAAGGC